RNAcentral lists this ribosomal RNA (415 nucleotides) under uncultured bacterium. RNAcentral's name for it is "bacterial SSU rRNA". It matches the Rfam family "Bacterial small subunit ribosomal RNA", at positions 28 to 443 of the family's 1533-position model. The record is from RNAcentral.
GAUGAACGCUAGCGGCAGGCCUAAUACAUGCAAGUCGAGGGGUAGGGUUAGCUUGCUAACCUGAGACCGGCGCACGGGUGCGUAACGCGUAUGCAACCUACCUUCAUCAGGGGGAUAGCCCGGAGAAAUCCGGAUUAACACCGCAUGAAAUCACAGAACGGCAUCGUUCAAUGAUCAAACAUUUAUGGGAUGGGGAUGGGCAUGCGUGUCAUUAGUUAGUUGGCGGGGUAACGGCCCACCAAGACCGCGAUGACUAGGGGAUCUGAGAGGAUGGCCCCCCACACUGGUACUGAGACACGGACCAGACUCCUACGGGAGGCAGCAGUAAGGAAUAUUGGUCAAUGGGCGAGAGCCUGAACCAGCCAUGCCGCGUGCAGGAAGACGGCCCUCUGGGUUGUAAACUGCUUUUAUCGGG